AUUGAACGCUGGCGGCAUGCCUUACACAUGCAAGUCGAACGGUAACAGGUCUUCGGAUGCUGACGAGUGGCGAACGGGUGAGUAAUACAUCGGAACGUGCCUAGUAGUGGGGGAUAACUACUCGAAAGAGUGGCUAAUACCGCAUGAGAUCUACGGAUGAAAGCAGGGGAUCGCAAGACCUUGUGCUACUAGAGCGGCCGAUGGCAGAUUAGGUAGUUGGUGGGAUAAAAGCUUACCAACCGACGAUCUGUAGCUGGUCUGAGAGGACGAUCAGCCACACUGGGACUGAGACACGGCCCAGACUCCUACGGGAGGCAGCAGUGGGGAAUUUUGGACAAUGGGCGAAAGCCUGAUCCAGCAAUGCCGCGUGCAGGAUGAAGGCUUUCGGGUUGUAAACUGCUUUUGUACGGAACGAAAAGCCCCGGGUUAAUACCCUGGGGUCAUGACGGUACCGUAAGAAUAAGCACCGGCUAACUACGUGCCAGCCGCCGCUGUAA
This 497-nucleotide ribosomal RNA is filed under the name uncultured bacterium. Its description in RNAcentral is "partial 16S ribosomal RNA". It matches the Rfam family "Bacterial small subunit ribosomal RNA", at positions 30 to 523 of the family's 1533-position model. The record is from RNAcentral.